Non-coding RNA from Plenodomus lindquistii, 82 nucleotides. Lineage: Eukaryota; Fungi; Ascomycota; Dothideomycetes; Pleosporales; Leptosphaeriaceae. The record is from the annotation of a GenBank genome assembly.
GGAACGGUAACUCAGUGGUAGAGUGUAGGAUUGCAGCUCCGCGACAAUCCUGAAGUCAUCAGUUCGAUCCUGGUUCGUUCCU